ACUCCUACGGGAGGCAGCAGUGGGGAAUCUUGCGCAAUGGGCGAAAGCCUGACGCAGCGAUGCCGCGUGAGUGAUGAAGGCCCUCGGGUUGUAAAGCUCUGUGGAGGGGGACGAAUAAGUGUCGUCGAAUAGACGGCAUGAUGACGGUACCCCUUUAGCAAGCACCGGCUAACUCUGUGCCAGCAGCCGCGGUAAGACAGAGGGUGCAAACGUUGUUCGGAAUUACUGGGCGUAAAGCGCGUGUAGGCUGCUCGGAAAGUCGGAUGUGAAAGCCCUGGGCUCAACCCAGGAAGAGCAUUCGAAACUCCCGAGCUCGAGUACCGGAGAGGAAGGCGGAAUUCUCGGUGUAGAGGUGAAAUUCGUAGAUAUCGAGAGGAACACCUGUGGCGAAGGCGGCCUUCUGGACGGUUACUGACGCUGAGACGCGAAAGCGUGGGGAGCAAACAGGAUUAGAUACCCUGGUAGUCCACGCCGUAAACGAUGGGUGCUAGGUGUCGCGGGAUUUGACCCCUGCGGUGCCGUAGCUAACGCAUUAAGCACCCCGCCUGGGGAGUACGGCCGCAAGGCUAAAACUCAAAUGAAUUGACGG
RNAcentral lists this ribosomal RNA (589 nucleotides) under uncultured Polyangium sp. Its description in RNAcentral is "bacterial SSU rRNA". It matches the Rfam family "Bacterial small subunit ribosomal RNA", at positions 335 to 916 of the family's 1533-position model. The record is from RNAcentral. Lineage: Bacteria; Pseudomonadati; Myxococcota; Polyangiales; Polyangiaceae.